This is a long non-coding RNA of Anser cygnoides (Swan goose), 1569 nucleotides long. The record is from Ensembl. Lineage: Eukaryota; Metazoa; Chordata; Aves; Anseriformes; Anatidae.
AUGCGAGGGUGUGGUGGAAGGCCCGCCUGUGAGGUCACACUGGAAGAGGCAGUCAACACCACGCCUCAAGACUGCCUCCAAUAUGAAAGAAAGAAGGGUAAAUGUAGCAGGAGAUUCCCUUCGGAGAGGAACAGAGGGCCCAAUAUGCAGAGCAGACCCUCAUCAAUUACAGAGACGUGGUGGGACAGCUCACAUGACUGGAAUGUGGUCAUGGAUAGGUAUGUCCUCAGAAAAGACAGGCCAGCAAGGCGAGGUGGUGGAGUUGUUCUUUAUGUGAGAGGGCAACUACAAUGUGUUGAGUACCGUCCAGGGGUGGAUGAAGAGCGAGUUGAGGGUCUGUGGGUGAGAAUUAAGGGGCAGGUUGGCAUGGAUGAUACUGUUGUGAGUGUCUAUUACAGGCCACCAGAGCAGGAUGAGGAAUUUGACGAGGCCUUCUACAGGCAGCUGAUAGCAGCCUCACAGUUACAGGCCCUGGUUAUCGUGGGGGAUUUCAACUUCCCUGACAUUUGCUGGAAGCCUUGCUCAGCCAGCCAUCUGCAGUCCAGGAGGUUCCUCCUGUGCAUUGAUGACAACUUCCUGGUGCAAAUGGUGGAUGAGCCAACUAGGAGAGGAGCGCUGCUGGAUCUUGUCCUCACUAACAAGGAGGGGCUGGUUGAAGCGGUGAAGGUUGAGGGCAGCCUUGGCUGCAGUGACCAUGAGACGAUGGAGUUCAGGAUCUCACGUGGCAGGAACAGAAUACCAAGCAGAAUCGCAACCCUGAACUUCGGUAGGGCCAACUUUGGCCUUUUCAAGCAAUUGCUAGGGGAAAUCCCGUGGGACAGGGUACUUCAAGGAAAAGGGGCCCAAGAUAGUUGGUUAGCAUUCAAGGAGUGCUUCUUCCAAGCUCAAGAUGAGAGCAUCCCAACAGGUAGGAAGUCAAGAAUGGGGGCCAGGAGACCUGUGUGGUUAAACAGGGAACUGCCAGGCAAACUCGAGUGGAAGAGGAGAGUCUACAGAUCAUGGAAGGAGGGGCUGGCCACUUGGGAAGAAUAUAAGAUUGUUGUCAGAGGAUAUAGGGAGGCAACUAGGAAAGCUAAGGCCUCCUUAGAAUUAAACCAUGCGAGAUGGGUCAAGGACAACAGAAAGGGCUUCUUCAAAUACAUUGCAGAUAAAACUAACACUAGAGGAAAUGUAGGCCCACUGAUGAAUGAGGUGGGUGCCCUGGUGACAGAAGAUAAAGAGAAGACAGAGUUACUGAAUGCCUUCUUUGUCUCUGUCUAUACUGCCAGAAGCUGUCCUGAGGAGCCCUGUACUCCUGAGGCCCCAGAGGAAGUCAGGAUAAAGGAGGAGUUUGCCUCGGUUGAUGGGGGCUGGGUUAAGGACCAAUUAAGCAAUCUGGACAUCCGUAAAUCCAUGGGCCCUGAUGGGAUAUACCUAGGGGUACUGAGGGAGCUGGCAGAAGUCAUUGAUAGGCCACUCUCCAUCAUCUUUGGGAAGUCAUGGGGAAAGGGAGAGGUGCCUGAGGACUGGAGGAAAGCAAAUGCCGCUCCAGUUUUCAAAAAGGGCAAGAACGAGGACCCGAGUAACUAG